RNAcentral lists this ribosomal RNA (447 nucleotides) under uncultured bacterium. RNAcentral's name for it is "bacterial SSU rRNA". It matches the Rfam family "Bacterial small subunit ribosomal RNA", at positions 355 to 825 of the family's 1533-position model. The record is from RNAcentral.
UGGGGAAUCUUGGACAAUGGGCGCAAGCCUGGUCCAGCCAUGCCGCGUGGAUGAUGAAGGCCUUAGGGUUGUAAAAUCCUUUCGUGGGGGACGAUAAUGACGGUACCCCAAGAAGAAGCUCCGGCUAACUUCGUGCCAGCAGCCGCGGUAAUACGAAGGGGGCUAGCGUUGUUCGGAUUUACUGGGCGUAAAGCGCGUGUAGGCGGGUCGUUAAGUUGGGGGUGAAAUCCCGAGGCUCAACCUCGGAACUGCCUUCAAAACUGGCGACCUGGACUCAAGUAGAGGCAAGUGGAAUUGCGAGUGUAGAGGUGAAAUUCGUAGAUAUUCGCAGGAACACCAGUGGCGAAGGCGACUUGCUGGACUUGUAGUGACGCUGAGACGCGAAAGCGUGGGGAGCAAACAGGAUUAGAUACCCACGUAGUCCCUGAGCGGGCUGGCAAGGCGCAU